This 467-nucleotide ribosomal RNA is filed under the name uncultured bacterium. RNAcentral describes it as "partial 16S ribosomal RNA". It matches the Rfam family "Bacterial small subunit ribosomal RNA", at positions 28 to 506 of the family's 1533-position model. The record is from RNAcentral.
GACGAACGCUGGCGGCGUGCUUAACACAUGCAAGUCGAACGGAAAGGCCCUGCUUUUGUGGGGUGCUCGAGUGGCGAACGGGUGAGUAACACGUGAGUAACCUGCCCUUGACUUUGGGAUAACUUCAGGAAACUGGGGCUAAUACCGGAUAGGAGCGCCUGCUGCAUGGUGGGGGUUGGAAAGUUUCGGCGGUUGGGGAUGGACUCGCGGCUUAUCAGCUUGUUGGUGGGGUAGUGGCUUACCAAGGCUUUGACGGGUAGCCGGCCUGAGAGGGUGACCGGCCACAUUGGGACUGAGAUACGGCCCAGACUCCUACGGGAGGCAGCAGUGGGGAAUAUUGCACAAUGGGCGGAAGCCUGAUGCAGCAACGCCGCGUGCGGGAUGACGGCCUUCGGGUUGUAAACCGCUUUCGCCUGUGACGAAGCGUGAGUGACGGUAAUGGGUAAAGAAGCACCGGCUAACUACGU